RNAcentral lists this unclassified non-coding RNA (522 nucleotides) under Hevea brasiliensis (rubber tree). Lineage: Eukaryota; Viridiplantae; Streptophyta; Magnoliopsida; Malpighiales; Euphorbiaceae. The record is from RNAcentral.
AUAAAGUCCCCAAAUCAAACCACACUCAUUAUUACCAUCUACAGUUUCGAUCUCCACAAGAUAAAGUUGUGUUCUUUGUCCUGAAUACUGACAUAAUUAAUAUUGUAUUAUUCCCCUAAAUUCAAUCAGUAUGGUGAAUUAAUUUUGAGUGGAUGAACAUGACAACUCAACUUUAGGUUCAUAUCAAAACCAUAAAUGAUCACAGCAUGAUCCAGAUUUGACCCCCUCAAACUAACAGGUUUAAAUCUGAUUAGCAUAUGGCCAGGCUGAAUGUAGCAGCCUAACAAAACAUUUAAAGUAUAGCUCUUACGACAAAUUCUUAAGAACUUUCCAUGUUUGACCAGUUUCUGUAGAGUUUAACUUCCAUACAAUCAGCUCCCCUCCUGCAUGGAAAUUAUAUUUAUGUAUUGGCUAUAUUGCCUAGAUAAUUAUCUCAGAAAAUUGUCUAGCUAUAUUUUAGAGUGGAGAGACAAAAAGCUGCUGUAAUUUAAGGCAUACCAUCAGCACCAGAGGCAAGUAGAU